This 497-nucleotide ribosomal RNA is filed under the name uncultured bacterium. RNAcentral's name for it is "partial 16S ribosomal RNA". It matches the Rfam family "Bacterial small subunit ribosomal RNA", at positions 28 to 507 of the family's 1533-position model. The record is from RNAcentral.
GAUGAACGCUGGCGGCGUGCCUAAUACACGCAAGUCGAGCGAACAGACGAGGAGCUUGCUCCUCUGACGUUAGCGGCGGACGGGUGAGUAACACGUGGAUAACCUACCUAUAAGACUGGGAUAACUUCGGGAAACCGGAGCUAAUACCGGAUAAUAUAUUGAACCGCAUGGUUCAAUAGUGAAAGACGGUUUUGCUGUCACUUAUAGAUGGAUCCGCGCCGCAUUAGCUAGUUGGUAAGGUAACGGCUUACCAAGGCGACGAUGCGUAGCCGACCUGAGAGGGUGAUCGGCCACACUGGAACUGAGACACGGUCCAGACUCCUACGGGAGGCAGCAGUAGGGAAUCUUCCGCAAUGGGCGAAAGCUUGACGGAGCAACGCCGCGUGAGUGAUGAAGGUCUUCGGAUCGUAAAACUCUGUUAUUAGGGAAGAACAAAUGUGUAAGUAACUAUGCACGUCUUGACGGUACCUAAUCAGAAAGCCACGGCUAACUACGUG